Peromyscus maniculatus bairdii (prairie deer mouse) is the source of this 223-nucleotide non-coding RNA. The record is from RefSeq and is a predicted model, not a curated record. NCBI's taxonomy places the organism in Eukaryota, Metazoa, Chordata, Mammalia, Rodentia, Cricetidae.
UUGAAAUGUAGGGCUAUGUUGGUAUUUUAUUUGUACUGAAAUGUGAUUUUAUUUGUAUGUUAAUAAGUAAAGUUGCUUGGGGGUCAGAGCUAAUUGCAAGCCAUAGCAGAGGCUGUGCAUUCGUGGCACAUGUCUUUAAUCCCAGCACUUGGUAGAAGAGCUAGGUAAAUCUCUGUGUGGUCAAGGAUGAGGGCAUCAUUGGACACACACUCCUCUAAUCUCA